This 1444-nucleotide ribosomal RNA is filed under the name metagenome. RNAcentral describes it as "bacterial SSU rRNA". It matches the Rfam family "Bacterial small subunit ribosomal RNA". The record is from RNAcentral.
AGAGUUUGAUCCUGGCUCAGGAUGAACGCUGGCGGCGUGCUUAACACAUGCAAGUCGAACGAGCCUUCGGGCUAGUGGCGGACGGGUGAGUAACGCGUGAGAAUCUGCCCUUAGGAGGGGGAUAACGGCUGGAAACGGCCGCUAAUACCCCAUAUGCCGCGAGGUGAAAUGAGAAAUCGCCUGAGGAUGAGCUCGCGUCUGAUUAGCUAGUCGGUGGGGUAAGAGCCUACCAAGGCAUCGAUCAGUAGCUGGUCUGAGAGGAUGAUCAGCCACACUGGGACUGAGACACGGCCCAGACUCCUACGGGAGGCAGCAGUGGGGAAUUUUCCGCAAUGGGCGCAAGCCUGACGGAGCAACGCCGCGUGAGGGAUGAAGGCCUCUGGGCUGUAAACCUCUUUUCUCAAGGAAGAAGAACUGACGGUACUUGAGGAAUAAGCCACGGCUAAUUCCGUGCCAGCAGCCGCGGUAAUACGGGAGUGGCAAGCGUUAUCCGGAAUUAUUGGGCGUAAAGCGUCCGCAGGCGGUCUUGAAAGUCUGUUGUUAAAGCGUGGAGCUCAACUCCAUUUCAGCAAUGGAAACUAGAAGACUAGAGUGUGGUAGGGGCAGAGGGAAUUCCCGGUGUAGCGGUGAAAUGCGUAGAUAUCGGGAAGAACACCAGUGGCGAAGGCGCUCUGCUGGGCCAUAACUGACGCUCAUGGACGAAAGCCAGGGGAGCGAAAGGGAUUAGAUACCCCUGUAGUCCUGGCCGUAAACGAUGAACACUAGGUGUCGGGGGAAUCGACCCCCUCGGUGUCGUAGCCAACGCGUUAAGUGUUCCGCCUGGGGAGUACGCACGCAAGUGUGAAACUCAAAGGAAUUGACGGGGGCCCGCACAAGCGGUGGAGUAUGUGGUUUAAUUCGAUGCAACGCGAAGAACCUUACCAGGGUUUGACAUCCUGCGAAUCUUUUGGAAACAGAAGAGUGCCUUCGGGAGCGCAGAGACAGGUGGUGCAUGGCUGUCGUCAGCUCGUGUCGUGAGAUGUUGGGUUAAGUCCCGCAACGAGCGCAACCCACGUCUUUAGUUGCCAGCAUUGAGUUGGGCACUCUAGAGAGACCGCCGGUGAUAAACCGGAGGAAGGUGUGGAUGACGUCAAGUCAUCAUGCCCCUUACAUCCUGGGCUACACACGUACUACAAUGCUACGGACAGAGGGCAGCAAACUCACGAGAGCUAGCAAAUCCCAUAAACCGUGGCUCAGUUCAGAUCGUAGGCUGCAACUCGCCUACGUGAAGGAGGAAUCGCUAGUAAUCGCAGGUCAGCAUACUGCGGUGAAUACGUUCCCGGGCCUUGUACACACCGCCCGUCACACCAUGGAAGUUGGCCAUGCCCGAAGUCGUUACUCCAACCCUUGUGGAGGAGGACGCCGAAGGUGGGGCUGAUGACUGGGGUGAAGUCGUAACAAGGUA